Molecule: ribosomal RNA, 468 nt
Filed under: uncultured bacterium
Lineage: Bacteria
Description: partial 16S ribosomal RNA
Rfam family: Bacterial small subunit ribosomal RNA
Source: RNAcentral
GACGAACGCUGGCGGCGUGCUUAACACAUGCAAGUCGAACGGAAAGGCCCUGCUUUUGUGGGGUGCUCGAGUGGCGAACGGGUGAGUAACACGUGAGUAACCUGCCCUCGACUUUGGGAUAACUUCAGGAAACUGGGGCUAAUACCGGAUAGGAGCUCCUGCUGCAUGGUGGGGGUUGGAAAGUUUCGGCGGUUGGGGAUGGACUCGCGGCUUAUCAGCUUGUUGGUGGGGUAGUGGCUUACCAAGGCUUUGACGGGUAGCCGGCCUGAGAGGGUGACCGGCCACAUUGGGACUGAGAUACGGCCCAGACUCCUACGGGAGGCAGCAGUGGGGAAUAUUGCACAAUGGGCGGAAGCCUGAUGCAGCAACGCCGCGUGCGGGAUGACGGCCUUCGGGUUGUAAACCGCUUUCGCCUGUGACGAAGCGUGAGUGACGGUAAUAGGUAAAGAAGCACCGGCUAACUACGUG